Molecule: ribosomal RNA, 497 nt
Filed under: uncultured bacterium
Lineage: Bacteria
Description: partial 16S ribosomal RNA
Rfam family: Bacterial small subunit ribosomal RNA
Source: RNAcentral
GAUGAACGCUGGCGGCGUGCCUAAUACAUGCAAGUCGAGCGAACAGACGAGGAGCUUGCUCCUCUGACGUUAGCGGCGGACGGGUGAGUAACACGUGGAUAACCUACCUAUAAGACUGGGAUAACUUCGGGAAACCGGAGCUAAUACCGGAUAAUAUAUUGAACCGCAUGGUUCAAUAGUGAAAGACGGUUUUGCUGUCACUUAUAGAUGGAUCCGCGCCGCAUUAGCUAGUUGGUAAGGUAACGGCUUACCAAGGCAACGAUGCGUAGCCGACCUGAGAGGGUGAUCGGCAACACUGGAACUGAGACACGGUCCAGACUCCUACGGGAGGCAGCAGUAGGGAAUCUUCCGCAAUGGGCGAAAGCCUGACGGAGCAACGCCGCGUGAAUGAUGAAGGUCUUCGGAUCGUAAAACUCUGUUAUUAGGGAAGAACAAAUGUGUAAGUAACUAUGCACGUCUUGACGGUACCUAAUCAGAAAGCCACGGCUAACUACGUG